Molecule: transfer RNA, 73 nt
Filed under: Fusarium vanettenii 77-13-4
Lineage: Eukaryota; Fungi; Ascomycota; Sordariomycetes; Hypocreales; Nectriaceae
Description: tRNA-Tyr (GTA) (tRNA-Tyr-GTA-1-1)
Rfam family: tRNA
About the family: Transfer RNA (tRNA) molecules are approximately 80 nucleotides in length. Their secondary structure includes four short double-helical elements and three loops (D, anti-codon, and T loops).
Source: RNAcentral
CCCCGAGUAGCUCAGCUGGAAGAGCGUUCGGCUGUAAACCGAAAGGUCACCUGUUCGAGCCAGGUCUCGGGGA